This is a non-coding RNA of Chloroflexi bacterium OLB15, 117 nucleotides long. The record is from Rfam. NCBI's taxonomy places the organism in Bacteria, Bacillati, Chloroflexota.
GUUGGUGGCUUGAGCGGUGAGGGUCCACCCGGCUCCAUCUCGAACCCGGUCGUUAAGCUCACCAGCGCGGAUGGUACUGCACGGGUAACUGUGUGGGAGAGUACGCCGCUGCCAACA